Molecule: ribosomal RNA, 301 nt
Filed under: uncultured bacterium
Lineage: Bacteria
Description: bacterial SSU rRNA
Rfam family: Bacterial small subunit ribosomal RNA
Source: RNAcentral
GCCACCUGAGGAUGAGCCCGCGUACCAUUAGGUUGUUGGUGGGGUAAUGGCCUACCAAGCCGAAGAUGGUUAGCUGGUCUGAGAGGAUGAUCAGCCACACUGGGACUGAGACACGGCCCAGACUCCUACGGGAGGCAGCAGUGGGGAAUAUUGGACAAUGGGCGCAAGCCUGAUCCAGCAAUGCCGCGUGUGUGAAGAAGGCCUGCGGGUUGUAAAGCACUUUCAGUGGGGAAGAACAGAUUCGGGUCAAUACCCCGGAGCCCUGACGUUACCCACAGAAGAAGCACCGGCUAACUCCGUG